AGAGUUUGAUCAUGGCUCAGAUUGAACGCUGGCGGCAGGCCUAACACAUGCAAGUCGAGCGGUAGCACAGAGAGCUUGCUCUCGGGUGACGAGCGGCGGACGGGUGAGUAAUGUCUGGGAAACUGCCUGAUGGAGGGGGAUAACUACUGGAAACGGUAGCUAAUACCGCAUAAUGUCGCAAGACCAAAGUGGGGGACCUUCGGGCCUCAUGCCAUCAGAUGUGCCCAGAUGGGAUUAGCUAGUAGGUGGGGUAAUGGCUCACCUAGGCGACGAUCCCUAGCUGGUCUGAGAGGAUGACCAGCCACACUGGAACUGAGAUACGGUCCAGACUCCUACGGGAGGCAGCAGUGGGGAAUAUUGCACAAUGGGCGCAAGCCUGAUGCAGCCAUGCCGCGUGUGUGAAGAAGGCCUUCGGGUUGUAAAGCACUUUCAGCGGGGAGGAAGGCGGUGAGGUUAAUAACCUCAUCGAUUGACGUUACCCGCAGAAGAAGCACCGGCUAACUCCGUGCCAGCAGCCGCGGUAAUACGGAGGGUGCAAGCGUUAAUCGGAAUUACUGGGCGUAAAGCGCACGCAGGCGGUCUGUCAAGUCGGAUGUGAAAUCCCCGGGCUCAACCUGGGAACUGCAUUCGAAACUGGCAGGCUAGAGUCUUGUAGAGGGGGGUAGAAUUCCAGGUGUAGCGGUGAAAUGCGUAGAGAUCUGGAGGAAUACCGGUGGCGAAGGCGGCCCCCUGGACAAAGACUGACGCUCAGGUGCGAAAGCGUGGGGAGCAAACAGGAUUAGAUACCCUGGUAGUCCACGCCGUAAACGAUGUCGAUUUGGAGGUUGUGCCCUUGAGGCGUGGCUUCCGGAGCUAACGCGUUAAAUCGACCGCCUGGGGAGUACGGCCGCAAGGUUAAAACUCAAAUGAAUUGACGGGGGCCCGCACAAGCGGUGGAGCAUGUGGUUUAAUUCGAUGCAACGCGAAGAACCUUACCUGGUCUUGACAUCCACAGAACUUAGCAGAGAUGCUUUGGUGCCUUCGGGAACUGUGAGACAGGUGCUGCAUGGCUGUCGUCAGCUCGUGUUGUGAAAUGUUGGGUUAAGUCCCGCAACGAGCGCAACCCUUAUCCUUUGUUGCCAGCGGUCCGGCCGGGAACUCAAAGGAGACUGCCAGUGAUAAACUGGAGGAAGGUGGGGAUGACGUCAAGUCAUCAUGGCCCUUACGACCAGGGCUACACACGUGCUACAAUGGCAUAUACAAAGAGAAGCGACCUCGCGAGAGCAAGCGGACCUCAUAAAGUAUGUCGUAGUCCGGAUUGGAGUCUGCAACUCGACUCCAUGAAGUCGGAAUCGCUAGUAAUCGUAGAUCAGAAUGCUACGGUGAAUACGUUCCCGGGCCUUGUACACACCGCCCGUCACACCAUGGGAGUGGGUUGCAAAAGAAGUAGGUAGCUUAACCUUCGGGAGGGCGCUUACCACUUUGUGAUUCAUGACUGGGGUGAAGUCGUAACAAGGUAACCGUAGGGGAACCUGCGGUUGGAUCACCU
Molecule: ribosomal RNA, 1528 nt
Filed under: Klebsiella pneumoniae
Lineage: Bacteria; Pseudomonadati; Pseudomonadota; Gammaproteobacteria; Enterobacterales; Enterobacteriaceae
Description: 16S ribosomal RNA
Rfam family: Bacterial small subunit ribosomal RNA
Source: RNAcentral